This 460-nucleotide ribosomal RNA is filed under the name uncultured bacterium. Its description in RNAcentral is "partial 16S ribosomal RNA". It matches the Rfam family "Bacterial small subunit ribosomal RNA", at positions 338 to 795 of the family's 1533-position model. The record is from RNAcentral.
CCUACGGGUGGCAGCAGUGAGGAAUAUUGGUCAAUGGCCGUAAGGCUGAACCAGCCAAGUCGCGUGAAGGACGAAGGAUCCAUGGUUUGUAAACUUCUUUUCUCGAGGAAUAAAGGUAUCCACGUGUGGAUAUUUGCGUGUACCCUAUGAAUAAGCAUCGGCUAACUCCGUGCCAGCAGCCGCGGUAAUACGGAGGAUGCGAGCGUUAUCCGGAUUUAUUGGGUUUAAAGGGUGCGUAGGUGGUGUUUUAAGUCAGCGGUUAAAGUUUGUGGCUCAACCAUAAAAUUGCCGUUGAAACUGGAAGACUUGAGUGUGUUUGAGGUAGGCGGAAUGCGUGGUGUAGCGGUGAAAUGCAUAGAUAUCGCGCAGAACUCCGAUUGCGAAGGCAGCUUACUAGGGCAUAACUGACACUGAAGCACGAAAGCGUGGGGAUCGAACAGGAUUAGAUACCCUGGUAGUC